This 1431-nucleotide long non-coding RNA is filed under the name Ananas comosus (pineapple). RNAcentral describes it as "long non-coding RNA (ACOM_LNC020439)". Lineage: Eukaryota; Viridiplantae; Streptophyta; Magnoliopsida; Poales; Bromeliaceae. The record is from RNAcentral.
AAUAUAUUUGUUGAUAGAGUUUCACUACUAUGCUAUUAAUAGCACAAAGUGCUUGGUGCUACCAAGUUUUCCACUGUUAGAUCUACCAUUUUGAUCAUUUUCAUUCGUUAGAUCAUAUUAUUCAACCAACCACCCACUCAAUCCUAGAGGGCUCACGUCAUUCUAACCGCACAUCUUUUAAUCCAAUGGCAAAAAACUUGGUAGCACCAAUAACUUGGUGCAAUUAAUAGUAUAUUAGCCUAGUUCUUUGUUGAUAUUAAAUUUGAGCCAUUGAUAAAAAAAAAAAACAAACACUACAAAAGAUUUUGGAAGGUAUUGUCUCAACGUAUCGCAUUCCCGUCUAACAUUUUCGAAGGUAAAAAAAAAAUUGUAAUAGUGUAUAUAUACACACACAUUAUUUAUAAAUAAUUUGAUUAACAAUAAAAUUUUCUAAAUAAAAAUAUUAUUAAUGAUUGUAUUUAGCUCAGUUAGCUAUGAACUUUAUGAUUUGAUAUCUAAAAUUUCAAAUAUAAGUCUAAUCUCUCCACAUUCUAAUUGCAUUCUUUCAAAAUAUAUAUAUAUAUAUAUAUAUAUAUAUAUAUAUAUAUAUAUAUAUAUAUAUAUAUAUAUAUAUAUAUAGGCCAUGUCUACUAUACUAUUAUGAGUAUUGAAGCCCUCGUACUCAUAAGUUGUUUUCAAUGAUGGAGCUUCCGAAUCGACGAUCCAUUCCGUUAAAUAUGAUCUAGAGUAUUUGAAACUUUUAGAAAAUAAAUUUCGUAAAUUUUCGAAAUCAUAAUAAAGUCCAUCAAGUGGGCAUAAAAUGAACGGUCAAAAUCGAACGACGUCCUAAAAAAAGAUAAUCGGAUCCUUCAAUUCAAGAUCGGAGUUAUUGAUCUUUAUCUAUGUAGUGAAUAGAAUUUUCUAUAAAAAAUUCAACAAAUUCCGAUUUUUUUACACCGUUAAACUAGCAAGUAUCCCAUACCGGCCGUUAAAAAUUGUCAAAUUUGUGACCUCUUGAUCGUAAGGUAAAUGAUGUCGAAAAAUUAUAAAAUUUGAUUUCUAGAAGUUUUAAAUGCUGUAAAUAACGUUUAACGGUAUGGAUCGUUGAUUCGAAAGCUCUAUCAUCGAAAACAACUUAUGAAUACAAGGGCGAUCGUACUCAUAAUAGUAUAGUAGCCGGGUCCUAUAUAUAUAUAAAAUUGAGCUCCUAUAUUUCUAAAAGUACUAAGUUAUUAUUGCUGGUAGAUUUUUAGCCAUUGGAUUAAGAGAUAUGUAGUUAGGAUGAUAUGGGCCCUCUAGGGUUGAGUGGGUGGUUGGUUGAAUAAUAUAAUCUAAUGGUUGAAAAUGAUCCGAGGAGUAGAUCUAACGGUAAAAAACUUACAAGUACCAAGUGCUUGGUACUUUUACAAGCACCGUAGCUGAACUCAUAUAUAUAUAUAUAUAUAUAGGGUU